ACAUACUAAGAACUUUCCAGAGAUGGAUGGUGCCUUCGGGAACUUAGAUACAGGUGCUGCAUGGCUGUCGUCAGCUCGUGUCGUGAGAUGUGGGUUAAGUCCGCAACGAGCGCAACCCUUUUCCUUAUUUGCCAGCGGGUCAUGCCGGGAACUUUAAGGAUACUGCCAGUGACAAACUGGAGGAAGGCGGGGACGACGUCAAGUCAUCAUGGCCCUUACGGCCAGGGCUACGCACGUGCUACAAUGGUCGGUACAAAGGGUUGCUACCUCGCGAGAGGAUGCUAAUCUCAAAAAGCCGAUCGUAGUCCGGAUCGCAGUCUGCAACUCGACUGCGUGAAGUCGGAAUCGCUAGUAAUCGCGGAUCAGAAUGCCGCGGUGAAUACGUUCCCGGGCCUUGUACACACCGCCCGUCACACCAUGGGAGUUUGUUGCACCAGAAGUAGGUAGUCUAACCGCAAGGAGGACGCUUACCACGGUGUGGCCGAUGACUGGGGUGAAGUCGUAACAAGGUAAGCGUAGAUGA
RNAcentral lists this ribosomal RNA (523 nucleotides) under uncultured bacterium. RNAcentral's name for it is "bacterial SSU rRNA". It matches the Rfam family "Bacterial small subunit ribosomal RNA", at positions 984 to 1509 of the family's 1533-position model. The record is from RNAcentral.